AAGUCGUAACAAGGUUUCCGUAGGUGACCUGCGGAAGGAUCAUUGUUGAUGCCUUGAGAAAUCAAUUGGACCGGCGAACUUGUUUGUCUAUACCCAUUGGGUCUGGAGGAGGCGUUCAACGAUGCCCCCUCCUCUCCCGAGUCGGGGCGGAGGUGGUCGUGCCUUGCUCGGCUGGCUUCUUUCCCGACAAAACACAAACCCCGGCGCUUCGUGUGCCAAGGAAUUCGAAACUGUUAAGCGCAGCACAGUGGACCCGGAGACGGCGUUCUGUGGGUGUUGUGGCGACAUGAGUUAUCUAAAAUGACUCUCGGCAACGGAUAUCUCGGCUCUUGCAUCGAUGAAGAACGUAGCGAAAUGCGAUACUUGGUGUGAAUUGCAGAAUCCCGUGAACCAUCGAGUCUUUGAACGCAAGUUGCGCCCGAAGCCACUAGGCUGAGGGCACGCCUGCCUGGGUGUCACGCGUCGUUACCCCCCAGCAAUGUGACAUUGCGUGGGGUGCAUGAUGGCCUCCCGCGAGCGUUGUCUCGUGGUUGGUUGAAAAUUGAGUUCACGACCGAGUGUGCGUUGGCCAAACGGUGGAUGAGUAAUGCUCGAUGCCGGCCACGUGCACGUCUGUGUCGGAUUUGGACCCUUGACCUCGUGCGUCUUUUACUUGGACGCCUCUAACGAGACCUCAGGUCAGGCGGGGCUACCCGCUGAGUUUAA
RNAcentral lists this ribosomal RNA (705 nucleotides) under Flemingia macrophylla. RNAcentral's name for it is "eukaryotic LSU rRNA". The stretch from base 303 to 458 matches the Rfam family "5.8S ribosomal RNA". The record is from RNAcentral. Lineage: Eukaryota; Viridiplantae; Streptophyta; Magnoliopsida; Fabales; Fabaceae.